GCAUAUCAAUAAGCGGAGGAAAAGAAACCAACAGGGAUUGCCUCAGUAACGGCGAGUGAAGCGGCAACAGCUCAAAUUUGAAAUCUGGCCCCCCGGGUCCGAGUUGUAAUUUGCAGAGGAUGCUUCUGGCGCGGCGCCUUCCAAGUCCCCUGGAACGGGGCGCCAUAGAGGGUGAGAGCCCCGUUGGGAUGGCCGCCAAGCCUGUGUGAAGCUCCUUCGACGAGUCGAGUAGUUUGGGAAUGCUGCUCUAAACGGGAGGUAGACCCCUUCUAAAGCUAAAUACCGGCCAGAGACCGAUAGCGCACAAGUAGAGUGAUCGAAAGAUGAAAAGCACUUUGAAAAGAGGGUUAAACAGUACGUGAAAUUGUUGAAAGGGAAGCGCUUGUGACCAGACGUGCACCGGGUGUUCAGCGGGCGUUCUCGCCCGUGCACUCGCCCCGGUGCAGGCCAGCGUCGGUUCGGUCGGGGGGACAAAGGCGCCGGGAACGUAGCUCCCUCGGGAGUGUUAUAGCCCGGUGUGCCAUGCCCCCGCCCGGACCGAGGUUCGCGCUCCGCAAGGACGCUGGCGUAAUGGUCCCCAGCGGCCCGUCUUGAAACACGGACCAAGGAGUCGAGGUUUUGCGCGAGUGUUUGGGUGUCAAAACCCGCACGCGUAAUGAAAGUGAACGCAGGUGGGAGCUUCGGCGCACCACCGACCGAUCCUGAUGUUCUCGGAUGGAUUUGAGUAAGAGCGUAGGGCCUCGGACCCGAAAGAUGGUGAACUAUACUUGGAUAGGGUGAAGCCAGAGGAAACUCUGGUGGAGGCUCGCAGCGGUUCUGACGUGCAAAUCGAUCGUCAAAUCUGAGUAUGGGGGCGAAAGACUAAUCG
Molecule: ribosomal RNA, 868 nt
Filed under: Nimesporella riisgaardii
Lineage: Eukaryota; Fungi; Ascomycota; Sordariomycetes; Chaetosphaeriales; Chaetosphaeriaceae
Description: Nimesporella JY-2022a partial large subunit ribosomal RNA
Rfam family: Eukaryotic large subunit ribosomal RNA
Source: RNAcentral